CAGAGACUGCAAGCGUUAUUCGGAUUCACUGGGCGUAAAGGGUGCGCAGGCGGUUGGGUGUGUCAGAUGUGAAAUCCCGAGGCUUAACCUCGGAACUGCGUCUGAAACUACUCGACUAGAGUACUGGAGAGGGUAACGGAAUUCACGGUGUAGCAGUGAAAUGCGUAGAUAUCGUGAGGAACACCAGAGGCGAAGGCGGUUACCUGGACAGUUACUGACGCUCAGGCACGAAAGCAUGGGGAGCAAAAGGGAUUAGAUACCCCUGUAGUCCAUGCCCUAAACGGUGCACACUAGGUCUUAGCGGAUUCGACCCCACUAGGGCCCAAGCUAACGCGUUAAGUGUCGCCGCCUGAGGACUACGGUCGCAAGACUA
RNAcentral lists this ribosomal RNA (373 nucleotides) under uncultured organism. RNAcentral describes it as "bacterial SSU rRNA". It matches the Rfam family "Bacterial small subunit ribosomal RNA", at positions 526 to 896 of the family's 1533-position model. The record is from RNAcentral.